AAAAGCAAUGGAAUUUCUAUCAGAAAAAAAGCAGAUAUUUUGAUCUCAAAACAAAACAAAACAAAACUAAAACCUGCAAACAAAACCCAGUGUACCUUGCAUUUGUAAAGUGCCAUGAAACCUGCAGUGCACCUUCAUCCACUCUAUAUGAUUAGAUCUUGCUGAUGACCCAGUGAGGUAGGAUAGAUGUGAAAGUCUUUUGUAAGCUGCUUACGUAUCAUCAUUCUUCUUCUGAAUGCAUAACGCAUGUCACUGAGCUUUGGGGAGGUUAACUAACUUGUCCACAUUAUAGGUGAUGGGCUAGAGUUAGAACUCAAGGCUUGUGCCUUCUGGCAAUGCUACAAAAUAAGUUGGCAAGAAUGAAUUCAAAGUGUGGUAGUACCUUCAUCCGGAAACUGGUUUGAUCCUACAAUCUUGUUUUAAAACAAUUGCUUAUGACUUACUGAAAGGACCUUUAAGACUGGUGUGUGUAUUUGUAUCACCUGUGAACCAUGGGUAGAUUCCUGUGUCAGAUUCUCAGAUAUCCUGAUUUAGUAGUUCUGCAAUGGAACCUAGAAAUUCUCAUUUUUAUAAAGACUCCAAGCUCUUCAAAACUUUUACUUGAUUUUCUGUAGACCAAGUUUCCAUCACUCCUACUCACCCCACAUUAAUGUUGACAUUCUUCUUAGUGGUAUGUAAAGAAAUACUGGAGGAACAAAUUCUGGCUUUCUGAGAAAAAUGGAACCCAUUAGACUACUUCAUGGUUAAGCAUGGAUGUGCUCAUUUUGAGUGAUGGGGUCACACUGAUCCAAACACACCUCCCCCAGCCCUCAGGGGACCACAGCCCCACUUUUGGAUGCAGCAGAGGAUCGUGUAUGCCCUGAAAGGGAGUGAAGCUCUGAAGGCACCAAACCCACAACCUGAGCCUCCACGCAACAAAGUCAAUGACCACAUCAUUAACGAAUCCUGAAUUUGUCAGCCAAGCAGAGGCAAUGCUUGGGGCUUAACGAUUGUCCACAUAUCAUGUAACAAAUGACCGUGUGUGCAUGCAUGUGUGGGGGAGUAAAUGAGAAAGCAUGUUUUGUAAGAAAAUUUAAUUUCCUUAUAACAACCAACCAGUUUCUUUUAGUGAAUCAACAGAUAAGGGGGUCCCAAAUACAGCAUUAACGAUUUUAAAAGCAUGAGUGCCAAUGGUAUUUUCUUUCUUUUUCUUUCUCUUUCUUUCUUUUUCUCUUUCUCUCUCUCUGUCUCUCUCUCUUUCUUCUUUCUUUCUCUCUUCCUCUCUUCCUUUCCUUUCUUUCUUUUUAAAGAAAGGCAAGGUAAAGAUUGGGAAUGUUGAUGAACGAUGGCCCCAUUCUCUAAGAGCUCAGUGAGAGUCUGUGUCAACUUGUUUUCCUCUCUUCCUCC
This 1386-nucleotide long non-coding RNA is filed under the name Homo sapiens (human). RNAcentral's name for it is "HSALNT0022288". The record is from RNAcentral. Lineage: Eukaryota; Metazoa; Chordata; Mammalia; Primates; Hominidae.